GUCUUCUCCAUGAGCUCCUUUCUGUCCAUUGGUGGCAGUUUAUGGAUUCGCACGAGAAGAAGAGCCAAUUCACAGAGCUAGCGUUCUUAGUUUACCUUCUGUCUUCACAGAGGUAAAGUUCUGCUGUUCUGUGAGACAUUU
This is a small nucleolar RNA of Loxodonta africana (African savanna elephant), 141 nucleotides long. RefSeq annotates it as small nucleolar RNA SNORA75. The transcript has a single exon. NCBI's taxonomy places the organism in Eukaryota, Metazoa, Chordata, Mammalia, Proboscidea, Elephantidae. The record is from RefSeq and is a predicted model, not a curated record.